UCCGAGUUGUAAUCUGGAGAAGCGUUUUCCGYGUUGGACCGUGUACAAGUCUCUUGGAACAGAGCGUCAUAGAGGGUGAGAAUCCCGUCUUUGACACGGACUACCAAUGCUUUGUGAUACGCUCUCAAAGAGUCGAGUUGUUUGGGAAUGCAGCUCAAAAUGGGUGGUAAAUUCCAUCUAAAGCUAAAUAUUGGCGAGAGACCGAUAGCGAACAAGUACCGUGAGGGAAAGAUGAAAAGCACUUUGGAAAGAGAGUUAAACAGUACGUGAAAUUGUUGAAAGGGAAACGCUUGAAGUCAGUCGCGUUGUCCGGGACUCAGCCUUGCUUCUGCUUGGUGUACUUCCUGGUUGACGGGCCAACAUCGAUUUUGAUCGGCGGAUAAAGGUAGAGGGAAUGUGGCACCUUCGGGUGUGUUAUAGCCCUCUAUCGGAUGCGUCGGUUGGGAUCGAGGACCGCAGCACGCCUUUUUGGCCGGGGUUCGCCCACGUAACGUGCUUAGGAUGUUGGCAUAAUGGCUUUAAGCGACCCGUCUUGAAACACGGACCAAGGAGUCUAACAUGCCCGCGAGUGUUAGGGUGGUAAACCCUUGCGCGUAAUGAAAGUGAAAGUUGGGACCUCUGUCAUGGAGGGCACCGACGCCCGGCCUUGAACUUCUGUGACGGUGCCGCGGUAGAGCGUGUAUGUUGGGACCCGAAAGAUGGUGAACUAUGCCUGAAUAGGGCGAAGCCAGAGGAAACUCUGGUGGAGGCUCGUAGCGAUUCUGACGUGCAAAUCGAUCGUCAAAUA
This 787-nucleotide ribosomal RNA is filed under the name Cotylidia undulata. Its description in RNAcentral is "LSU rRNA". It matches the Rfam family "Eukaryotic large subunit ribosomal RNA", at positions 137 to 911 of the family's 3401-position model. Lineage: Eukaryota; Fungi; Basidiomycota; Agaricomycetes; Hymenochaetales. The record is from RNAcentral.